This 380-nucleotide ribosomal RNA is filed under the name uncultured eukaryote. RNAcentral describes it as "partial 18S ribosomal RNA". It matches the Rfam family "Eukaryotic small subunit ribosomal RNA", at positions 592 to 976 of the family's 1831-position model. The record is from RNAcentral.
CAAUAGCGUAUAUUAAAGUUGUUGCAGUUAAAAAGCUCGUAGUUGGAUUUGUGGCGUACGGUGUGUUCCGGGCACUUGUUGUCUGAGUAACCUGCUGUUGCCAUCCUUGGGUGGAACCUGUGUGGCAUUAGGUUGUCGUGCAGGGGAUGCCCAUCAUUUACUGUGAAAAAAUUAGAGUGUUCAAAGCAGGCUUAUGCCGUCGAAUAUAUUAGCAUGGAAUAAUGAGAUAGGACUUUCUUGCUAUUUUGUUGGUUUGCGCAAAGAGGUAAUGAUUAAUAGGGACAGUUGGGGGUAUUCGUAUUCCAUUGUCAGAGGUGAAAUUCUUGGAUUUUUGGAGGACGAACUACUGCGAAAGCAUUUACCAAGGAUGUUUUCAUUAA